RNAcentral lists this ribosomal RNA (216 nucleotides) under uncultured bacterium. RNAcentral's name for it is "partial 16S ribosomal RNA". It matches the Rfam family "Bacterial small subunit ribosomal RNA", at positions 118 to 351 of the family's 1533-position model. The record is from RNAcentral.
UAGGGAUCUGCCUGUUAGAGGGGGAUAAGCCGAGGAAACUUGGGCUAAUACCGGAUAAGCCCUUACGGGGAAAGAUUUAUCGCCAAAAGAUCGGCCCGCGUCUGAUUAGCUAGUUGGUGGGGUAAUGGCCCACCAAGGCUACGAUCAGUAGCUGGUCUGAGAGGAUGAUCAGCCACAUUGGGACUGAGACACGGCCCAGACUCCUACGGGAGGCAG